CAGCUAAAUCAAUAAUCCAAAGGGAAUUUGGAUUAGUUAUUUUUCAUGGCUUUCCUACUUAAAGUUGAUGUUUCAAGAGGCAAGGUAUGUAAUCUUCUAUAUCCUAAAAAAGAUAAAAGUGGUUUUGUACUUCAGAGAAACAACUUAUGAGUCUAAUGGAGAAAAAUGUCUCAAGGAGACACCAUGGUCUUCAGAAGAAAGAGUGGGUACAAUUUUAAGGAUUCUUAAUGGUGAGAACAGGAAGAGAGGAUUCAAAUAAUGAAAGCACCCAAAGAGAAUUGGAGGGUGAAAUUUUUCAGGAAAAUAGAAUACCUUUCAAAGAUCCAAGGAAUGAAUAGUUCUUUCAAGAGAUGAAUUGGAAACAUUUGUUCUGCUACUGGAGAGAGACACAUGAGAUCAAAAAUAUUCCAAAAGGAGGUAGGUCAAAUGUUUUUCAGAAGGAAGAAAGAGAAAUAUGACACAAUAAGGAGGACAAGAUGGAAUUUAAAUGAGUUCAUCUAGAGGAGAGUCUAGAUAGUUUCCAAGAUUCUAGAGAAUGGACUAAAAAAGUGAAACUAAUACAAACCAAAGAUAUCCCAGAAAGAGGUAGGUACAUAUGUCUUUCAGGAAAAGGAUGGUAAUGAUUUUUUUUUAAAAGGAAGAGGCAAGAAUUGAAGGAAAGAAAGAAGGAAAUAAGCAUGUAUUAAGCUCCUUCUAUGUCAGGCUUUACAAAUAUCUGAUUUGAUCCUCACAACAAUCCCUAAGAGAUGAGGAAACUAAGAAUGAGAAAUUAAGCAACUUGUUCAAAAAGACAUACAGGAUUCAUAGUUCAUAGAUCAAGAGUUUUGGAAGGGACCUCAGAGACCAUCUAGUGGAACCCAUUUUACAGAUGAGGAAAUAUGCCCAGGGGGAGGUAAGGUUGGCUCUCCUAAGGUGAAACAAUGUAAGUAUCAAAUGUGAAAUUUGAACCAAGAUUCUGGGAUUCAAAAGCCAGUGCUUUUCCCCUUUAACACACUUCAAACCCAAGUAUGCUUGGACUCCAAUGUUAGAAUUUUUUCCAUUAGACCAUAAUUCCUGAGAAGACAAGAAGAAAACUUUUUUUGAGUAAAAAUGGAAUAAAUCCUACGGCUGGUAUACAAGCACAGAAGUUGAGGCAGACAAAAUCCUGUCAAGUUGGCGGAAGCGAAAACAUUUUCUUGGAAAGUGGUCACCUUCAAGAAGCCAAUGAAAAAGCAUCAAUGAGUACAUGCACAUCUGAAAAGAGGAGGCAAUUACUGAUCUUCCUCUGGAUGAGAAAAUAGAAGACUGAAUACAACAUUUUUAGUCAAAAGAAAAUUGUCCUUCAACGCUACUGUAAUUAAAACAAAGACCUUUCGUGUGUCUAUCUUCUCCAAAUGAAAUCUGAAGAACUAAAAAAACACCCCCAAGAUACUCCUGAUUCUUUCCUUCUCAAGUCUGUUCAGGUCGUUCAUUAUCAACACCUAAGGGGCCCAAUAGAAAAUCACAGAUAUUUCAGCAUGUUCCCUAAAGGCUUCUAUGCCAAGAAAAAACUUAAGAGAUGAAAAAAAUCAACAGACAUACUUUGAGUAAUGAGUACAAAAGCACACAAUAAAGAACUUUCACAUACCAUCUCAAA
Antechinus flavipes (yellow-footed antechinus) is the source of this 1615-nucleotide long non-coding RNA. RefSeq lists it as uncharacterized. Lineage: Eukaryota; Metazoa; Chordata; Mammalia; Dasyuromorphia; Dasyuridae. The record is from RefSeq and is a predicted model, not a curated record. The transcript is spliced from 4 exons.